GGCCCCAUAGCUUAAUGGUCAGAGCGCUCCCCUCAUAAGGGAUAGGUUACCGGUUCGAGUCCGGUUGGGGACA
Molecule: transfer RNA, 73 nt
Filed under: Aeromonas phage Akh-2
Lineage: Duplodnaviria; Heunggongvirae; Uroviricota; Caudoviricetes; Demerecviridae
Description: tRNA-Met
Rfam family: tRNA
About the family: Transfer RNA (tRNA) molecules are approximately 80 nucleotides in length.
Source: RNAcentral